UUUUGAUUGAUUUUUAGUGACAGCUACGGAGGGAUGCGAGGUUGCGUGGCAAUUUGGCAAGUGUAUCUAUGAAAAUGACAAAGAGCUCUACUUAGUUCCUUAGAACGAUCUUUCAAUAUCGAUCGAAGAAGCAAAAGAAAUUUCUACACGCCCGUACAUCGUUGUUAUAAAGAUCGAGAAACAGCUAGGAUGGUGUGCAGAAAUAUUCGAAUUCCAAACAACGUAUGUAGAAGAGUCUAAAA
Long non-coding RNA from Apis dorsata (giant honeybee), 242 nucleotides. RefSeq lists it as uncharacterized. The record is from RefSeq and is a predicted model, not a curated record. Lineage: Eukaryota; Metazoa; Arthropoda; Insecta; Hymenoptera; Apidae. The transcript has 2 exons.